CCCUACAUUCUCUUUGGAGUGAAGUGUCCUCUCUAUGCAACAAGGAGUCCUCAAUGAAUUUAUGAAAAGCUGUACAUGAAGCCUUUUCAAGGACUGAAUUAUUCAAAGUAAUUUUAAGAAGAAGACAUCUUCUCUAUUGUCAUGCAUGCUUUCUAAAGCUCGAAGUAAUGAACGACAACCUGGAUGGCUUGGGUCAGAUUAUUGGGAUCAACUUAUUGUAUACUGGCAGUCUCCAGAGUUUUAAAAGAAGAGCGCCCAGACAAAGGCAACUCGAAAAUUCAAGAAGGGUGGCUCAUUGCACAUGUGUGGUUCAGUGUCCAUGGGAACAACUAUGAGGUAAUUGGUAAUUGAUGCUGAAGAGGAUGAGGAUGAGGAUGAGGAUGAUGGAGAAGAUGAAAUAGAGUAUUGGGUGGUGUUGUUAUUUUAGUUUUGGAUUUUGUUAGUGAGUGUUUGGAAGAAAUUAUUUUGCUACUUGUUUGCAUAUUAUUUAAGUUAGAUGAAUAUGUAUGAAGUUUGGUUACUCAAUUUUAAUGUUUGAAUUGUUUCAGAA
This is a long non-coding RNA of Capsicum annuum, 550 nucleotides long. RefSeq lists it as uncharacterized. Lineage: Eukaryota; Viridiplantae; Streptophyta; Magnoliopsida; Solanales; Solanaceae. The record is from RefSeq and is a predicted model, not a curated record. The transcript has 2 exons.